This 265-nucleotide small RNA is filed under the name Arabidopsis thaliana (thale cress). Its description in RNAcentral is "ATSL183760". The record is from RNAcentral. Lineage: Eukaryota; Viridiplantae; Streptophyta; Magnoliopsida; Brassicales; Brassicaceae.
AAUUCUUAAAUUUUAAAAAUUACUAUUUUUUAAAAAAAUCACGGGACGGUAAAAAAAUUACAGAACGAGUUCUAUUUUGGAAUUGAGUUAUAUGGUGGAUGUAUUUGAAUCAAUAUUUAUAAAAUUUCAAAAUAUUAUUAAUAUGCUGUUUUAAUAGGGGUUAAAACUUCAGUUUUUUAACAAUUAUCUCAUGGAUUCGUGGUAUACCGUUACUUAAUAACAAUUAUAAACUGUAAAAUAUAAAUAUUUUAUAAAAAUAAAAUUU